AGUCGAGCGGAUGAAGAGAGCUUGCUCUCUGAUUCAGCGGCGGACGGGUGAGUAAUGCCUAGGAAUCUGCCUGGUAGUGGGGGACAACGUCUCGAAAGGGACGCUAAUACCGCAUACGUCCUACGGGAGAAAGCAGGGGACCUUCGGGCCUUGCGCUAUCAGAUGAGCCUAGGUCGGAUUAGCUAGUUGGUGAGGUAAUGGCUCAGCAAGGCGACGAUCCGUAACUGGUCUGAGAGGAUGAUCAGUCACACUGGAACUGAGACACGGUCCAGACUCCUACGGGAGGCAGCAGUGGGGAAUAUUGGACAAUGGGCGAGAGCCUGAUCCAGCCAUGCCGCGUGUGUGAAGAAGGUCUUCGGAUUGUAAAGCACUUUAAGUUGGGAGGAAGGGCAUUAACCUAAUACGUUGAUGUUUUGACGUUACCGACAGAAUAAGCACCGGCUAACUCUGUGCCAGCAGCCGCGGUAAUACAGAGGGUGCAAGCGUUAAUCGGAAUUACUGGGCGUAAAGCGCGCGUAGGUGGUUUGUUAAGUUGAAUGUGAAAUCCCCGGGCUCAACCUGGGAACUGCAUCCGAAACUGGCAAGCUAGAGUAGGGCAGAGGGUGGUGGAAUUUCCUGUGUAGCGGUGACAUGCGUAGAUAUAGGAAGGAACACCAGUGGCGAAGGCGACCACCUGGGCUCGUACUGACACUGAGGUGCGAGAGCGUGGGGAGCAAACAGGAUUAGAUACCC
This 732-nucleotide ribosomal RNA is filed under the name bacterium 30-L049660-122-017-F04. RNAcentral describes it as "bacterial SSU rRNA". It matches the Rfam family "Bacterial small subunit ribosomal RNA", at positions 60 to 787 of the family's 1533-position model. The record is from RNAcentral.